UCCUCUACUAUGAUGAUGUCAUGGUAUGCGUUUCAGUUAAUUAGAUUUUUGUGUACUUCAUCUUUCAGAUCAUUGGAUAUCCUUGAUUAAAGGUAUAGAAAAUCCAAAAUUUGAUACUGUUCCCAUGAAAAGGCUGAGGAAAUAAUUAAUGCAACUCAUAAGCACUAGUAUCUGCAUAUGAUCUCCAUAAAUUAGCAUCUUUUGUGGUUUGUUCUAUUAGUUGUCCAAUGAUAUUAUCUAAUUAUAAAUUAUCUCUAUGCUAUUAGAAUUGUGUUCUUUUUAAACUACAGUUUUGUUGGCAUGAGAAAUUCUGGUAAAGAUAGGGACAUUUGAAUCUUACAGAUGUUGGGUGUUUUGGCUUGUCAUUAUCCCAAUAAUGCAUCUAAAAAUCCUUCUCCUCUCUCUGUAUUAUUUGACCACAGAAAAAUAUAGUCACUCACACAUUGAUCUUGCAGCCUGUGGAUUACGAGCCUCCAUUCUUCAGAAGCUGCUCAGAACAAGAAGCUCAUAAUCCAUGGAUAAAAAAUCCUCUGGAAAUGGAGGUUGGGAAUGUCAACAGCAAGCAUUUAGUAUUAGCUCUCAAGGAGGCCUGAAUGUGGAAGGGGAGGCAGACAACUGGGAUUUUGGUGUAGGCAUGUAGAACAAUGAAGACUACAACUUUAAUGCUAAGACAUGAUUUUUGAAUAUAUGUUAGUUUGUGGUUAAUGCUAAGACAUAAUUUUUGGAUAUAUGUUAGUUUGUGAUUUAAUGUUAAAACAUGAUUUUUGGAUUUUGAAUAUAUUAAU
This is a non-coding RNA of Camellia sinensis, 785 nucleotides long. NCBI's taxonomy places the organism in Eukaryota, Viridiplantae, Streptophyta, Magnoliopsida, Ericales, Theaceae. The record is from RefSeq and is a predicted model, not a curated record.